GAUGAAUAACGCAGCGAAAUGCGAUAAGUAAUGUGAAUUGCAGAAUUCAGUGAAUCAUCGAAUCUUUGAACGCACAUUGCGCCCGCCAGUAUUCUGGCGGGCAUGCCUGUUCGAGCGUCAUUUCAACCCUCAAGCCCCCGGGCUUGGUGUUGGGGAUCGGCGUGCCCUCGCGGCGCGCCGUCCCCUAAAUCUAGUGGCGGUCUCGCUGUAGCUUCCUCUGCGUAGUAGCAACACUCGCACUGGAUCGCAGCGCGGCCACGCCGUUAAACCCCCCACUUCUGAAAGUUUGACCUCGGAUCAGGUAGGAAUACCCGCUGAACUUAAGCAUAUCAAUAAGCGGAGGA
This 344-nucleotide unclassified non-coding RNA is filed under the name soil metagenome. RNAcentral's name for it is "partial contains 5.8S ribosomal RNA, internal transcribed spacer 2, and large subunit ribosomal RNA". The stretch from base 1 to 120 matches the Rfam family "5.8S ribosomal RNA", at positions 35 to 154 of the family's 154-position model. The record is from RNAcentral.